UUCAGGGUACAGGUGCUUAACAAUUACGCUUUGUUGUAUCAGUGGCAAGCAAAAGAAGGGUGUAGUCUUUACCACUGAGGAAUUUAGAAUCUGCUUCUGGAAGAUAAAGCUAAAUUGCUGAGAGCUGUGGGUGACAGAGCACGUAAGGCAGAGUGCAGACUACAGACAUCGUAGGGGUUGAAGAAGAUUGACCAAAUCUUGGGAGCUUGUGAUGGUUACCAUGAAAUUCAAGGCUUCCCUCUGGAACACAUCGCUGGAGUACUUUCUGUUAGUCUCAAGUCAUGAGAAUCCUCCCACAUUGUCAUUGUUGACAGACAUCAACGGGCCUGAACAAAGAAGAGGAUAAAUAGGUCAAUCCAUCAUCAAACCAGCUCAGUUGUAGGGAGGGGACUAUAGAACAGCCCUGAAUGGCCAUAGCGGGAGCUACCAGAUAAGUGAGUAGUCAACACUUAAAUACACCUACAGUGUACACUUUUGAGUAUUUAUUGUCAUGUCUCUGGUUUUUCUGUGUGCCUCUGUGAACGCCCCUGGAAUCUUAGAAUUUCUAUGAGAAAUUCCAGAUGUCUGAGGAAUCUUUCCGAACAUUAUAGUUUCUGCUAAUGUGAAGAAAAAGUUAGCCCAUGAAUUUGAGGUCAUGUUUGCACACAAAAAAGAAUUCAAGAAAUUACAAUAUAAUGUAAUUCCUACCUCAUUUUGGCUUUAAUUAUUUGGAUAUGAUAGGACCUUCUUAAACAAAUAUAUUUUAAACUUUCAAAGCAUAGUGAGAAAUCGCUUGUUUGUGACCAUGGAAGAAAGAGAGAUGUAGAAAUGUGAAAAAAUUUGUAAAUCCAAGUUAAUUAUAUUUCCAUUUGGCUUUCAAAUAAGGUAAGAAAAGACUCUGCCAGGUGUUUCUAUACUGUGAUAUGACAGCUAAUAUGUACUGAACACACAAAAUGGACCAUGUGCACUUUACAGGGCUAUCUCAGUUUUUUUUCUUAAAACAAUCUGCAAAAAGGGAAUUAUUAUUAUAUUAUUGUAAUACUCACUUACAAUAAGGAAAGACACAGCUUAGAGGAAAUGAGCAACUUGGCUAAAGUUGCAUGUGGAGGAAGUAAGAGAAACAGGAG
This 1106-nucleotide long non-coding RNA is filed under the name Macaca nemestrina (pig-tailed macaque). RNAcentral's name for it is "lncRNA (ENSMNEG00000045691.1)". The record is from RNAcentral. Lineage: Eukaryota; Metazoa; Chordata; Mammalia; Primates; Cercopithecidae.